GAGUAAAGUGGCGCACGGGUGAGUAACACGUGAGUAACUUGCCUGCAAAUUGGGGACAACCUGCCGAAAGGUGGGCUAAUACCGAAUAAUACUCCGGGGACACAAGUUCUCGGAGCCAAAGACGCCUUAAACGUCGUUUGCAGAUAAGCUCGCGCACCAUUAGCUAGUUGGCGGGGUAAUGGCCCACCAAGGCUACGAUGGUUAGCUGGUCUGAGAGGAUGAUCAGCCACACUGGAACUGAGACACGGUCCAGACUCCUACGGGAGGCAGCAGUGAGGAAUAUUGCGCAAUGGGCGAAAGCCUGACGCAGCAACGCCGCGUGAGCGAUGAAGGCCCUUGGGUUGUAAAGCUCUGUCGGGUGGGACGAAAAAAAUGACGGUACCACCAAAGGAAGCCCCGGCUAACUCCGUGCCAGCAGCCGCGGUAAUACGGAGGGGGCAAGCGUUGUUCGGAAUUAUUGGGCGUAAAGGGCGUGUAGGCGGCUUGAUAAGUCAGGCGUGAAAUCCCUCGGCUCAACCGGGGAACUGCGUUUGAAACUGUCAAGCUUGAGUGCGGGAGAGGAGAGUGGAAUUCCCAGUGUAGCGGUGAAAUGUGUAGAUAUUGGGAAGAACACCGGUGGCGAAGGCGGCUCUCUGGACCGUUACUGACGCUGAGACGCGAAAGCUAUGGGAGCGAACGGGAUUAGAUACCCCGGUAGUCCUAGCCGUAAACGAUGGGUACUAGUGUAGGAAGUAUCGACCCUUUCUGUGCCGUAGCUAACGCAUUAAGUACCCCGCCUGGGGAGUACGGUCGCAAGGCUGAAACUCAAGGAAUUGACGGGGGCCCGCACAGCGGUGGAGCAUGUGG
RNAcentral lists this ribosomal RNA (846 nucleotides) under uncultured bacterium. Its description in RNAcentral is "bacterial SSU rRNA". It matches the Rfam family "Bacterial small subunit ribosomal RNA", at positions 88 to 944 of the family's 1533-position model. The record is from RNAcentral.